GACGGAGGGCGCAAGCGUUGUUCGGAAUUACUGGGCGUAAAGCGCGCGCAGGCGGGAAGGUAAGUCUGGAGUGAAAUUCCGGGGCUCAACUCCGGAGCUGCUUUGGAUACUGUCUUUCUAGGGACCGGUAGAGGCCGGUGGAAUUCCCGGUGUAGCGGUGGAAUGCGUAGAUAUCGAGAGGAACACCAGUGGCGAAGGCGAGUCCCUGGACAACACCUGACACUGAGGCACGAAAGCUAGGGGAGCAAACAGG
This 253-nucleotide ribosomal RNA is filed under the name uncultured bacterium. RNAcentral's name for it is "partial 16S ribosomal RNA". It matches the Rfam family "Bacterial small subunit ribosomal RNA", at positions 524 to 776 of the family's 1533-position model. The record is from RNAcentral.